AUGAGGCAGUACUGGUGGGGAGUGGAGAAUGGAAAGAAAAAGAUGGCUUGGCUAAGUUGGGAGAAAAUGAAACUACCCAAAGCAAUGGGAGGCAUGGGUUUCAGGGAUAUGCGUGCUUUUAAUCAGGCGUUGUUAGCAAAACAGGCCUGGCGGUUGUUGGACAGCCCUGAUAGUCUAUGUGCUCAUUUAUUGCGCGCAAAAUAUUUCCCUAAUGGGAAUUUGUUGGAUACAGUAUUUCCUAGCAGCUCUUCGGUGGUAUGGAAAGGUAUUGUUCAUGGACUUGAAUUGUUGAAGAAGGGCAUUAUCUGGCGGGUUGGUGAUGGUACACUAAUUAGAACUUGGCGGGACCCUUGGAUUCCGCGGGGUUAUGAUCUAAGACCAGUCACGCCAAAAAGGAAUUGU
This 402-nucleotide ribosomal RNA is filed under the name Triticum aestivum (bread wheat). RNAcentral describes it as "partial small subunit ribosomal RNA". The record is from RNAcentral. Lineage: Eukaryota; Viridiplantae; Streptophyta; Magnoliopsida; Poales; Poaceae.